GCUGGGUGUGGUGGCUCACCCCUGUAAUCCCAGGGGCUUGGGAGGCUGAGGCAGGAGGAUUGCUAGUUUGAAGCCAGCCUCAGCAACUCAGUGAGGCGCUAAACAAUUCAGUGAGACCCUGUCUCUA
Molecule: small RNA, 127 nt
Filed under: Marmota monax (woodchuck)
Lineage: Eukaryota; Metazoa; Chordata; Mammalia; Rodentia; Sciuridae
Source: RNAcentral